Molecule: ribosomal RNA, 251 nt
Filed under: uncultured prokaryote
Description: partial 16S rRNA
Rfam family: Bacterial small subunit ribosomal RNA
Source: RNAcentral
ACGGAGGGGACUAGCGUUGUUCGGAAUUACUGGGCGUAAAGCGCACGUAGGCGGACCAGCAAGUUAGGGGUGAAAUCCCGGGGCUCAACCCCGGAACUGCCUUUAAAACUGUUGGUCUGGAGUUCGAGAGAGGUGAGUGGAAUUCCGAGUGUAGAGGUGAAAUUCGUAGAUAUUCGGAGGAACACCAGUGGCGAAGGCGGCUCACUGGCUCAUUACUGACGCUGAGGUGCGAAAGCGUGGGGAGCAAACAG